This 98-nucleotide microRNA precursor is filed under the name Marmota monax (woodchuck). The record is from RNAcentral. Lineage: Eukaryota; Metazoa; Chordata; Mammalia; Rodentia; Sciuridae.
UGUGAAAUAUGGGUCAAAUGGUAAAAACAUAUUUAAGUUUUCAAGAAACUGCCAAACCUUUUUCCAAAGUGGUUAUACCAUUUUACAUUCCCACCAGU